Molecule: ribosomal RNA, 356 nt
Filed under: uncultured Glomeraceae
Lineage: Eukaryota; Fungi; Glomeromycota; Glomeromycetes; Glomerales; Glomeraceae
Description: SSU rRNA
Rfam family: Eukaryotic small subunit ribosomal RNA
Source: RNAcentral
AGCAGCCGCGGUAAUUCCAGCUCCAAUAGCGUAUAUUAAAGUUGUUGCAGUUAAAAAGCUCGUAGUUGAAUUUCGGGAUCAGUGCGCUGGUCGUGCCUUCGGUAUGUACUGGUGUUACUGGUUCCUACCUUCUGACGAACCGUCAUGUCAUUAAUUUGGUGUGGCGGGGAAUCAGGACUGUUACUUUGAAAAAAUUAGAGUGUUUAAAGCAGGCUCGCGCUUGAAUACAUUAGCAUGGAAUAAUGAAAUAGGACGUUCGAUCCUAUUUUGUUGGUUUCUAGGAUUGACGUAAUGAUUAAUAGGGAUAGUUGGGGGCAUUAGUUUUCAAUUGUCAGAGGUGAAAUUCUUGGAUUUAU